GUAGGUGGCAAGCGUUGUCCGGAAUUAUUGGGGCGUAAAGCGCGCGCAGGCGGUUCUUUAAGUCUGAUGUGAAAGCCCACGGGCUCAACCGUGGAGGGUCAUUGGAAACUGGAGAACUUGAGUACAGAAGAGGAAAGCGGAAUUCCACGUGUAGCGGUGAAAUGCGUAGAGAUGUGGAGGAACACCAGUGGCGAAGGCGGCUUUCUGGUCUGUAACUGACGCUGAGGCGCGAAAGCGUGGGGAGCAAACAGGAUUAGAUACCCUGGUAGUCCACGCCGUAAACGAUGAGUGCUAAGUGUUAGGGGGUUUCCGCCCCUUAGUGCUGCAGCUGACGCAUUAAGCACUCCGCCUGGGGAGUACGGCCGCAAAGGCUG
Molecule: ribosomal RNA, 374 nt
Filed under: uncultured organism
Description: partial 16S ribosomal RNA
Rfam family: Bacterial small subunit ribosomal RNA
Source: RNAcentral